GGAGUGGUAGUUCAGUUGGUUAGAAUACCGGCCUGUCACGCCGGGGGUCGCGGGUUCGAGUCCCGUCUACUCCGCCA
This 77-nucleotide transfer RNA is filed under the name Vibrio diabolicus. RNAcentral describes it as "tRNA-Asp". It matches the Rfam family "tRNA". From Rfam's summary of the family: Transfer RNA (tRNA) molecules are approximately 80 nucleotides in length. Their secondary structure includes four short double-helical elements and three loops (D, anti-codon, and T loops). Further hydrogen bonds mediate the characteristic L-shaped molecular structure. tRNAs have two regions of fundamental functional importance: the anti-codon, which is responsible for specific mRNA codon recognition, and the 3' end, to which the tRNAs corresponding amino acid is attached (by aminoacyl-tRNA synthetases). tRNAs cope with the degeneracy of the genetic code in two manners: having more than one tRNA (with a specific anti-codon) for a particular amino acid; and 'wobble' base-pairing, i.e. permitting non-standard base-pairing at the 3rd anti-codon position. RNAcentral also lists the same sequence under 14 other names. Lineage: Bacteria; Pseudomonadati; Pseudomonadota; Gammaproteobacteria; Vibrionales; Vibrionaceae. The record is from RNAcentral.